AGAGCGAACGCUGGCGGCAGGCCUAACACAUGCAAGUCGAACGGACCCUUCGGGGUUAGUGGCGGACGGGUGAGUAACACGUGGGAACGUGCCUUUAGGUUCGGAAUAGCUCCUGGAAACGGGUGGUAAUGCCGAAUGUGCCCUUCGGGGGAAAGAUUUAUCGCCUUUAGAGCGGCCCGCGUCUGAUUAGCUUGUUGGUGAGGUAAUGGCUCACCAAGGCUACGAUCAGUAGCUGGUCUGAGAGGAUGACCAGCCACAUUGGGACUGAGACACGGCCCAAACUCCUACGGAGCAGCAGUGGGGAAUCUUGCGCAAGUGGGCGAAAGCCUGACGCAGCCAUGCCGCGUGUAUGGAUGAAGGUCUUAGGAUUAGUAAAAUACUUUCACGGUGAAGAUAAUGACUAGUAGCCGGAAGAAGAACGCCCCGGAUAACGUUCGUCGCCAGCAGCCGAC
This 452-nucleotide ribosomal RNA is filed under the name uncultured soil bacterium. RNAcentral's name for it is "bacterial SSU rRNA". It matches the Rfam family "Bacterial small subunit ribosomal RNA", at positions 26 to 518 of the family's 1533-position model. The record is from RNAcentral.